UUGCAACUCGAGAACCUGGGGUUGAGAUAGUUGUUCAGUCCCUUUCUUUCCCUUCGUUCUCACGCUCCGUGGUUUGAACGUCAACCCUCAACCUUCCUUUUUCCCGUUCUCGUGCUGGACGCGAGUAGGGCAUCUCUAUUUUUUUUGUUUUUUUUGCAAUUCAGUCCUCAUACACAUUCUACCUUUUGAAUAGCAAAAAAGAGUGUCUCAUGGGAACGGCCGGGCUGCAAUUGCUGAACGGUGGUGGCGCCGGCCGGGCUGGCAUGUGCGUACCCAUAGUUGGAAACCUUAUUCGGAGUUCCGUCUUUUGAUGCUGCUGUUGCUCCGCUCGCGAGUUUUGUCUCUUCUUUCUUUCCUCCUUCUUCGCAUGGCUGCAGCCCAAAAAGCAGUUUUCCACCUCCAAAACCAAAACGGCUUCCGGAACAGGCGAAACGGAUGGUGAUGGAAUCUGCGACAACCUGAGUGUUGAACAGUUGGGAUCGAAAGCGCUUUACGUAGCAAUAGUUCAGCGAUGAAUGUGCAGCGAUGAAAGACCGGAGGAACGGCCGACGUCUUCAGGAAUCAGGAUGAAGACGAGAUAGCACAGGGUCGUCACUUUCAUCUUUUGCCUACUUCAUCCAUACGAGAUAGCAUAGCUUUUUUUUUUUAGGGUAAACCGCGAGCUUUAUUGAUUAAGAAGACAAAGUACAAUCAAGAUCAACUUGUUUUGCAAUACAACUAGACACUUGUCUCAGCCACACAGCUGAAUGCACAUUUCUCCUAGCUAGUUGUGCUAAAAGAUGCGCCACAAAAUUUCGCUCA
Panicum virgatum (switchgrass) is the source of this 801-nucleotide long non-coding RNA. RefSeq lists it as uncharacterized. Lineage: Eukaryota; Viridiplantae; Streptophyta; Magnoliopsida; Poales; Poaceae. The record is from RefSeq and is a predicted model, not a curated record. The transcript has 2 exons.